AUACGGAGGAUGCGAGCGUUAUCCGGAUUUAUUGGGUUUAAAGGGUGCGUAGGCGGAUUAAUAAGUCAGUGGUGAAAUACUGCAGCUUAACUGUAGAAUUGCCGUUGAUACUGUUAGUCUUGAGUAUGGUCAAGGUAGGCGGAAUGUGUAAUGUAGCGGUGAAAUGCUUAGAUAUUACACAGAACACCGAUUGCGAAGGCAGCUUACUGGGCCAUUACUGACGCUGAUGCACGAAAGCGUGGGGAUC
This 247-nucleotide ribosomal RNA is filed under the name uncultured bacterium. RNAcentral's name for it is "partial 16S ribosomal RNA". It matches the Rfam family "Bacterial small subunit ribosomal RNA", at positions 523 to 769 of the family's 1533-position model. The record is from RNAcentral.